RNAcentral lists this ribosomal RNA (253 nucleotides) under uncultured bacterium. Its description in RNAcentral is "partial 16S ribosomal RNA". It matches the Rfam family "Bacterial small subunit ribosomal RNA", at positions 524 to 776 of the family's 1533-position model. The record is from RNAcentral.
UACGAAGGGGGCUAGCGUUGCUCGGAAUCACUGGGCGUAAAGCGCACGUAGGCGGAUGUGUCAGUCAGGGGUGAAAUCCCGGAGCUCAACUUCGGAACUGCCUUUGAUACAGCACGUCUUGAGUCCGAUAGAGGUGGGUGGAAUUCCUAGUGUAGAGGUGAAAUUCGUAGAUAUUCGGAAGAACACCAGUGGCGAAGGCGGCUCACUGGACUGGUAUUGACGCUGAGGUGCGAAAGCGUGGGGAGCAAACAGG